UGUGAGGAAGGUGGGGAUGACGUCAAAUCAGCACGGCCCUUACAUCCGGGCGACACACGUGUUACAAUGGUAAGGACAAAGGGCAGCUACCGGGCGACCGGAUGCGAAUCUCUAAACCUUAUCUCAGUUCGGAUCGGAGUCUGCAACUCGACUCCGUGAAGCUGGAUUCGCUAGUAAUCGCGCAUCAGCCAUGGCGCGGUGAAUACGUUCCCGGGCCUUGUACACACCGCCCGUCAAGCCAUGGGAGCCGGGGGUACCUGAAGUUCGUAACCGCAAGGAUCGACCUAGGGUAAAACUGGUGACUGGG
RNAcentral lists this ribosomal RNA (307 nucleotides) under uncultured bacterium. Its description in RNAcentral is "bacterial SSU rRNA". It matches the Rfam family "Bacterial small subunit ribosomal RNA", at positions 1163 to 1479 of the family's 1533-position model. The record is from RNAcentral.